UGGACCGUGUUUAAGUAAGAA
RNAcentral lists this microRNA (21 nucleotides) under Hevea brasiliensis (rubber tree). RNAcentral describes it as "hbr-miR6172". The record is from miRBase by way of RNAcentral. Lineage: Eukaryota; Viridiplantae; Streptophyta; Magnoliopsida; Malpighiales; Euphorbiaceae.